CUGCCGGUCGCCUCUCGCCGGUCUCCUCGUACAAACCGGCGUGGACAAGAGGUGUCGUCCUGGUCGUGUCUGCUGCCUGCAGCCGGUUUUGCAUCUGGGUUUUGAUUUGAACAAGAGACGCCAGGAAGUGACCUGAGCACGACAGAGCGGCCCUGUCUCCCGCGGCAGCGACGGCAUCCGCUCGCUGAAUGCAAAGUUAUUUGCAUAGGAAAAUACAAAGUGAAGUCGGAUCAUCAUCCUCCUCAUCAUUGGAGGAGGAAGACUCGGCUUCUCAACUGAAUUUUUUAACGUAGACGUACGCAGACACUCUUUCUGUUCAUUGUGUGUUGUGUAUACUUUUAUUUUGCAUAACGACCUGGUAAAAAAAUUGGAGUUUGAUAAAUACAGCCCGUGAUAUGCAAGUGUUAGUGCUACACUAAUGACACUAUCAUUCACUAGGGGGGAACACACAGUAUUGCUAAUGCUACCCCAAAAAAAUCAUAUGGCUCGUCCUCUAUGCUCAGUAGCUACGGUUCAGCUGCCGGACACGUGACCUUCCCCACUGUCAUGGAGGCGGACUGAUUUGCCUCCGAUGCAAAUAUCAACUGAAGACGCGCUGCGGUGAUGAUGCAGAGCUCAGACAGCAGGAAUUAAAAGCCUUCAGGCAAAGAGAGAGAGAGAGAGAUAGAGAGAGAGAAAGAGAGAGAGAGAGAGAUUUGACUUUCAAUGUCAGACAGGGAUUUUCUGAACACCUGUUGAAACUUAACUAUUGAAUGCCUGUUCUCAUUAGGCCUACUCCAUGGCAAUUUUUUUAUUAUAAUAAUAAUUAUUAUUAAUUGAGCAUCCCAAAUAUGAGAAAGUUAUGGUAUCUACACUUAUUGAAUUAUUGGCAUUAAUGAAGUAGAGUUUGGAUAAUCUUCACUUGUUAGACUUCUGACUGCUGUCAUAAAACCAAUGCUACUUGUGUGUAUUAAAGGGAUAGACUAGUUAUCUAGUGCAGAAAUGAGACCAUAUGGUUUAACAAGUAGUUCCAUAGAACUGGAAAAAUGGUGGCAGGGUUGCUGUCAGCAAAACAACGGACUGUAUAUAAGAAGUGGACGAAGUCGCCGUGGGGUCACCCAUUGGUUAGUGGACUGCGACUUUUGAACUUUUGUUUUUGCAACCCGAAGUAAUCACAGUUAUCAUAAAAAACAGUGUGUUCCUCUUAUGCUUUACAAUAAAUUCACAAUACAUUUAUCUUAAUAUUCCUCAAAAUGGACUUCCUUUAUGUACAUGUGCAAAUCAAAAUAACCUUUUACCACUCUACACUAGAUAACGGGGCAAUGCCACAACUGCCUUCGAGUGAAGACCGACCCAGAGUGCAUGUUAUCCACAAUAGUUUGAUUCUUCUCUCGGUGUAAUCGGCCUUUCACCCUGCUUUAGAUUGAUUUCAUUCAGGAGUAACUAUCGGCUACAUGGACUCAUCCAACUGGUUCCCAGAUCCUGGUCUUUUAGGAGUUCCCAACAGGUGCUUGGACCAGUGAAUGUUGUAUGUUUAGAAACUGUCGUUCCAAAUGUGUAACAGCUUUUAAAACCCUCAUCUCCGGGAAUGCUAAAUGAACAAGAUAUAGCAUGUCGAGUUCAGCUCACAUGUUGCGUGUGCCGGACACACUCGGAUGAAGGAAAUAUCUUCUCACACACCUAGGAGGGUAUUUCCGUGAACGUUGGACUGUUCCUUUAAAGUGCGGGGCCUGUCUCUCAGGACAGGAAGUAAGUUACGGGCACCUGGCAACGCCGGCAAGACUGUCAGGCGCUGCUGCGUGUCCACCCCCGUUCCGUGUAAAUCAUCCAUGCUUAUGUGAAUAGAUCUGCAGUUUGCUUGAAUAAUUCUAAUAACGGUUUGUACCUGUAUGGAGAAGUCACAUACACACACGCGUGUGUACACACACGUUCCUUUGAAGUGUGUGUGUGUGUAUGUUGGCGUGGUCUCUGUCCGCGCCCCCCCGCCCCCAACAUGAAUAGAGUUGAGUCUUGGGCAGUCGACAGCUGUCUCCUUUGAACGCCCAAAGACAAAAGGCCUUAAAUCCAGCGACCUCCCUCUUUCAUGUGUUCAUCUGAUACGGCUCUUCCUCACCACACUACUGUCUCUCCAUUCAGCUCCGGGGGCCCCGAGGCUGCAGCUUGCUCCCCCCCCCCCCCCCUCCGUUCAACCUCUGGAGUCCAUGGGUUCAUUCUUCACCUCUGAAUGUUUCCGAGAGAGAGAGAGAGAUCUUUUCGUUGAGAACAAAGUGCAGCUGCCGUGCUGUCGUACCUCCAGCUGCUGAUGCUAGAGCUUGUUGGUGGAUCCAAAUUGUCCCAACGAUAAGACACAAACUUUAUCCUGCGGUAAUAUUCAAUUCAAUUCAAAAUUCUGUUUAUUUUGUAUAGCCCAUUUUCACAAAUUAGAAAUUAGCCUCAGAGUGCUUUACAAUCUGUACACAUAGACAUCCCUGACCUUUGACCUCACAUCGGAUCAGGAAAAACUCCCAAAUAACCCUUCACGGGGGGAAAAAAAGUGAAGAAACCUUCAGGAGAGCAACAGAGGAGGAUCCCUCUCCAGGAUGGACAGGUGCAAUAGAUGCCAUGUGGACAGAAUGAAUCACUAUACACUAAUUAAAACAGAGUAACAACACAAUCAAUGAAUAUGACAGUCUAUGAGUAGUUGGUAGUAGGAAUAUGCACUCUAAAUAAAAUAAACAAGCAAUACAUAUCCAUUUCCAGGGAAUUUAUGUCUCAAAUGUAUCGUUAAUGUAUCAUAUUGUUCGGCCGUGAUCAAACUCUGGUUCGUACUGCGCGUGCGUGUAACACGCGGUUCUGUUUCUCCUGUGUUCCGUGUCUCCUAUGUCUCCUCUGUGUCUUCUCUGUCUUGAUUGUUUAAUUCCCUGCACCUGCCCUCAGCCACUCUUGUCUCGUUACUGUCUGAUGUCGUACACCUGUUUCCCCCCCUAUAUAUUGUGUUCCUGGUUCUGCCUGUUGACCCUGCCUGCCCCGAACCUGGAUUCUUUGCCUUCCCCUUUUGGACCUUGUUUUUUUCUAAACUGUUUUGCCUCAUUAAAGAGUGUUUUUUUUGUUAUUUAUAUUGCGUCCAGCCUGUCACUAGAACCUGACAGUGCGUGCCACAGUUACCCAGAAGUCAAUGCAACCAUGUAACUAAAUGUGAUGUAUUUACCACAACAUGGCAAUGUAGUUCUUUAACAAAUGGAUCACACGCAGAGAAAACGCAUUGGAAAACAUAAAGAAAUGUUUGACCCGCUGUUUCCUUCUUUUCAGUGUUAACAUGAGCGAGUGGUGAAAUGGGAGAAAAUGGCUGACUUUAUAGGAGGGGCUGAUGGGGCACAAAGAAGGGGAAUCGGUCACUUGCAGGUUCCAGGUAUUAAAUGUAUGGGCUAAAGUUGUGGCGCUGUUCUACUGAGGGAUCUAGUUUCAAAAUGUAGUUUUUAACAGUUAUAUUCUGCUUUCUUUUCUUUUUUCAAUUCAAACUCACAAGUUGUGUCCAUAUACAUCUGAUGAACACAAACUGCAUCAUGAUUCCAGCACAGAGCUCCAGGCUCACUGGGAUCAACAGGGGCCCGAUAGAAAUGUUUUGGAUACAAACUGCAUGAGGGAAAAGUCCAAAUAUCUUAAUAAAUAGUCAACAUGUGUCAAUUAUAGUGCACCAAAAUUAAAUGGGUACUGCAGUUUUUAGUUCAAGCUCUGUAGUUCUUCGGAGACGCCUUCUGAUGAGCUCGUCCGAUAUGAAGCAACUGGCAGUAAAUGUCUUCAAGAAAUCUUUCUUUUUCUUUGGCCAGAGUUCCACUUAAACAAAUCUUUUCCUUUCAUACACCUCAUGCCCAAAAGACACAGAUGAAAGCUAAAAAUAGUUUCUCCCAAAAGAAGACCAGGGGAGUCUUGGUGUGAUAACCCAGACGGUCGGCCCUCCAUGUGUCCGACUGCCUCCCCUUUCACUGAGGGUAAUUAGAAAAUCUUCAGGGCAGGAUCUUCUUGUCUCUGUGUGUGUGUGUGUGUGUGUGUGUGUGUUCAGGCUGUGCAUAAGGAGGCUGAGGCCCAACGCUGUACCAGGCAAAGGUUUCCACCGGCCUGUUCUUGCAUAACUCAUUCGCGGUUUAAUGCGCUCGGUCUCACAGUCCUCGCCGAGCUCGGAGACUACAGGUCGAAGAUUUCCCCCGUGCAGAGACUUCGAGAUUUCGAGAUUGGCCGAUCUUCACGUUCAGCAAGAGGCUCCCAGCGGACCGCUGCUGCUUCUUUGCGAUUGGCCGCCCGGACCAAACCAACCUGCCUCGGUGUUUGGGGAGUGCAAUGUUGACAGAGCGGCGCCCAACGGUUGUUAAAGCCCUGGCGGAGCGUUGGGAGAACCUGCGUGCUGAAUGUGUUAAUGUGUAGCUCCUUUACAGUGACGGGGCCGCGGAGCCUCCGGUAAUGUUUAGGACUGUGGACUUUGAUACUCAUUUGAUUCAAGCGGCCAGAAAGACGGCUGCCAUUCAUUUACUCGCUCACGGCGGACGUGAGGAUGCCUGUGCUCAGCAGCGUUCACUUCAUCUCACUUCCGCUCUCCGCUUGGUACAAAUCUGUUUGUCUGAGGUCGACGAACAGAGGAUGAGCCCCUUCAGAGCAGGGAGUGUAUUCCUGCUCGUUCUCUUUCAUUCUUGCUCAUCAGAUUUGAUGCAUGUUGCCAAGUUGAGUCCAACCAGCGAACCAGAAGACGAGUUUCCUCUGAAAUAUCUACUCACAAAACGUUAUCAUCUCAUUACAUGACAUUAUAUCA
Molecule: long non-coding RNA, 4759 nt
Organism: Pseudoliparis swirei
Lineage: Eukaryota; Metazoa; Chordata; Actinopteri; Perciformes; Liparidae
Exons: 3
Source: RefSeq, a predicted model, not a curated record